Molecule: non-coding RNA, 3584 nt
Organism: Lolium perenne
Lineage: Eukaryota; Viridiplantae; Streptophyta; Magnoliopsida; Poales; Poaceae
Source: RefSeq, a predicted model, not a curated record
UCCCCGCCGCCACCUCCUCCUCGAAAUCGUCCCCUCAAUCCCCAUCCCUUUGCCGUCCCUUCUGUCCCUCUCCUCCGUCCUUCCUCCUCCCCGCUGCUUAGCAGGAGGAGCACGAUGCGCCGCCGCACUUCCUCGUCCUCCCGAUCCCAUCACGAUUCUCCUCCCCCAAUUGAUCUCCGGCGACCGCCAGAGGAGGAGGCCGCCGCCGCUCGCCCGGAGUUGGGUCCCCACAAGCACAAGAGGAGGAGGCCGCCGUUACCUUGUCCCACCAUGGGCCGCUGCCUCACCCAGCGAGCAUCCUUUUCUUCUGCAUCUUCGUCCACCGCGCCGCGUGAAGAGACGAGGCCCUGCCAUCCGCCCUUUCUCGUAUUAUCAGGUUGAUUUGCAACGUGGCUGAUAAUCCACUUCAUCUACCUGCUUUAACCAUUUUCGGAGCCAAUAAAUAAGAGGUUCCUUUCAUUCGGGAGAUGCACAAGGCAUCGGUGCUGGAGCUCUGUACGACAGCACGGGCGUUGGGGCAGAGGUAGGUCGAGUGGAGAUUCUUUUCUAGCUUGGGCGACCCGUGCAUCAUGUAGGAGGAGGGAAAGCAGCAUCAACGAUUCCAUGGUUCAAAGCUGAUGACGGGGAGAGGAGGCGGUGUACGGAGGGGUAGGCAGAGGAGGUGACACCUCCGAGGAGCAGUGUUCAGCUUUCACCACAGCAAGUACCUAGCCUCAUCCAUGUCCUCUUCGUCGCUGAAGACGCCGACGAACAGUUCACGCCAACCCUCCUCUGCAUCUUAUUUUUAAGGUUCUUCUUUCUCUCUGUGUCAAACGUUCUAUCCUAGAGGUUGAGAUAAAAGUGGAGGCAUACUCUUCUUUAAUUUAAGAUCCUGAACAUCACGUUUUGGUUUAUGGGAAUCCGUUUCUAAUGCUUGCACCGUGUUUCAUAAAGUGACAAAUUAGCUCAUGUUUCAUCUCCAGGUUAAACAAGAUGCCAAUAUAUUUUGGUUUCUCGGUUACAGUGGUCGGUUAGGUGUUAUUGUGCCGCUGGGUUGCUCUCCGUGCUGAUGCUUGCUAAUAUUUGACCCAAAAUUCAAUUUAACUGGAAGUUCUCGGUGGUGUCUACCUACUAUUUGAUACAAAAAUCAUGUUUUUCAUACCGGAAUAUUGUGUGCCCGUGAAGGUGAUUUUUUUGUUCUGCAAUAUGAUGAUUGCUUCAUAUUUUUUCUAGCGCUGGAUGCAUGUCAAUUAUAAUCACAUGGGACUUCCAAGUUCCAACUCAGGUUCACCAAUGGCAGGCGAGGAAACCGAGCCAACGAGACACACCACUGAUUAGCAUGUGCUUAUGAUUCUGUAUUGUCAGGUGAGGAAACCAAGCCUGUCUCCGAUUGCUUGACUGAUUCCGUAUUGUCAGGAUUUACUCUUCAUGUAUUAUUCGAUGUCGACCUCGACAAAGUGUAGCAUUGCACUGGUGCAUAUGUGUAUAUUAAAUCUGCAGCAGGUAUAUGAAUUUUACUUGGCAUACCAUUAUUCCCUCUUUAUUUGUUGCCCUUUGCUUUCUGUUGUAUUGAUUAAAGUGAUACGAAAUGUGAGAAGAUGCUUUCUGCAAUGGUAGUGGUCUGAUGAUUGAAGUGAUUUUCUCAAUAAGCACUUUUUGUUAUAUUGAUUUCAGUGAUAUGGAAUGUGAGAAGCCUACUGUUUCUUACGAUGAAAACAAUUAUGUGAUUUUUUUAUGACAAGUCUGUUUAAUUUACAUGAAGUUGUGUAUUUUAUAAUUUGAUUGCCAAAGUAUAUGUAUGACAAUAUGAGUUGAUUACGACAUGAUAGUUCGAGGUUGUAGCUUCUUGCAUAAUUUAUACUCUCAUGUCUGGAUGGCUUUAUUUAAAAUUGUAGUUGAUCUAUGUAUUACAGCUGGUUGUUUGACGUUAGUGGGAUAAUAUUUUCAACUUGAAGGUUUUAUUUCAAAAUGUAGUUGAUCUUGCUAUGUUUUAGGGGAAAAUCUUAGGAGAAUAGUUAAUGGGAACUAAUGCUUAUUGCAUUGUUCUUCCAGGUGUCAAGCUGAAUCAGAUUCUUUUAUUCCGUAAUGUUGAUGUUAUGCUGCUACUUCGAUGCUGCUUAUUUUCUAGCGUGUGCUUUAAAUACCAUUUUAUGAGAUCUGACAUAUUUGUGUGUGCUUUGAGUAGAUGAACCAAUUAUAAACUCCACUCAAAAUAUGCUUACUAGAAUUAUUGACCAUGUAUUAUAAAACAGAGAACAUUAACUAAGAAAGUUAUGUUUGUGUUACAACUAGCAGCUGCCUCCAGUUGUUGUGUUGGUUCAGUUAUACUUGUUUGGGUCCGUGUACUUCAGCUUCACCAAACACUAUCUAACUUGCUGGUUUAAAGAACAAUAUGCCUGGCGAGUCACCCUAGAGAAAAGUCGGGCCCCUUAGCAAGUGUCUUCUUAGGGAAUUAUGAGCUUUUGUCUACUCUGCUUUCAUUUCCUAUGCAUAUGUUGCAGUAUCUUUGUAUGUUUGAUAUUUUUAUCCUUUACUUAUCACUUCAAAUGGCUUCUGGUGGCUUAAUAUGUAUGAGGUUGUUGUACAAUAUGUAGGUCCAACAUAUUACUCUUAGAUCUCUCUAAAAUUCUUAUAAAAUUAUACUGAUGAUCAUAACAUGUUGACAAAAUGAUCAUAUCAGCUUGCCACUGAAACAAAAAUACUCUUACCUUAGUGUGAUCCACUGCAAACUAUUAUAUGCAUUACUAUUAUUUUUAGGCAUUCAUUACUAAAACGGCUUUGUUAAUAGUGCAAGGUCUCAUUGAAUUUUAUGGGUUCUGCAAAUCGUGAGGGUAACCGGAAAAGGAGUAUAUUCAUGGUUGCAGAAUCUAUGAUGAAUUAAGUCGCUUUGAUAUAGUAUCUUCAUACGGAGUUACAUACCCUACCAAUGCUGAACAAUGGGUCAUCGCCAAAUGAGUGGUAUGCCAUGAUAGUUUAUAAAAGGAGCUGCAGUAAGUAUCUGUAGUUUCAGAAAGCUGCAGUAAGUAUCUGCAGUUUCAGAAAGCCGUGGUGCUUGGAAGGAUUUAAGAUAAUAUGUUAUGCACAUCGAAUUACUAAGUUCUUGUACUUUUUUAAUUCUCUCUGGUUAGUUGCAACUGGAUUAGGUAGACAUUUAAUGGUUCUCUAACGAACAUAUACAAUGGAUUUUCCCCUGGUUCUUCUCGUUUUGUGCUUCAAGGUGUUUAUGUUUGAAUUUACCGAAAGCCCUUUCCGGUUAUUUUGGUCCCAGCUUGACCAAAUAAUUCUAAUUUUUUAAUGUUUUUCUAAGAGUGCUUGGAAUGAUUUAAGACAAUAUGUUAUGCAUAUUGAAUUACUCAAACGCUCAAGUACUUUUUUUUUUCUCUCUGGUUAGUUGCAAUUGGUCAGGAUUAGAUAGACUGUUCAUGAACUUUUUGUGGUUCCAACUAGGUAAUGUUGUACUACUUUUCUAACGGCUACUAUUACGAGUGUUCAUAUAGGUAGAAACAGAGCAUUCACAGCCAUAAGUGCGACUGUAAACUUUAAAUGAAACUUUUACAAAGGAAAAGAAGCAAAAAAAGUUAUUUGUUGAAAUAGUUGAGUUUCUC